UCUGACGGCCAUAGCGGUGGUGAUCACCCGUUCCCAUUCCGAACACGGAAGUUAAGCCCACCCGCGUAUUCGGCGGUACUGUGGUGCGCGAGCCCACGGGAAUCCGAGUACGCCGUCAACU
Marine Group III euryarchaeote CG-Epi2 is the source of this 121-nucleotide non-coding RNA. The record is from Rfam. Lineage: Archaea; Methanobacteriati; Thermoplasmatota; Thermoplasmata; Candidatus Thermoprofundales.